Poecile atricapillus (Black-capped chickadee) is the source of this 708-nucleotide long non-coding RNA. RefSeq lists it as uncharacterized. The record is from RefSeq and is a predicted model, not a curated record. The transcript has 5 exons. Lineage: Eukaryota; Metazoa; Chordata; Aves; Passeriformes; Paridae.
AGUACAUUCCUCAAAUGGCCUUUCUCUAACAAUGGAAAAAAAAAUAAGCAAAAAAGAAAGCAGCAACAAACCUGCAUUAAAAGUCAAAUGAAGAACCAUAUUAUGAGGAAAAGCACUGCUCUAUUACUUUGGCUGUAGGUGUUGGAAGAUGAAAUUCUGCUCAUCUUCCGGGCAAACAAAUCCCCAUCCUACAAUGUGCAGAUAAGCUGCUAAAAUGCUGGGACAGAUAGACCUGGGGAAACACUAAGAAAUUCCCGACUUCCUGUAUGGCACCAAGUGUGAGCACAAAGAAGAGGGAUGAAGAGGAGGACGGGUCAUCACUUAAGGUUGUAAACUCCUCUUGCUAAGGAAAAGAAGGCGGCCUGCUCCCUCUAUAGGCUUCCCUGGUUGUUGCUUUCACAAACCAGCUAUCCAGGAGAUCAGAGCUGCAUGCUUUUGAAGACUGUCAAAAAUGCUGAAGACUCUGGCUCCUCAGUUGCACCAGCACUGCAAUUUCUGGCAUCGUUCUGGAAGAAGACUAUAAGACAACCCAGCAUUACCUUUCAGAGGGUUGUGCCAUCAUGCUACUCUAUUGUACCACCAGAGUGUUGCAAAGAGUGCCUUGCAAUGUGGAGCUACCCAAACCUAACAAGGCUUGGGAGUGACGUAUUCAUUACUAUAUGCGUGACCUCAUCUUCAAAGGAAGAUUAGCAUUAGCAAAUUUAUGAU